RNAcentral lists this ribosomal RNA (363 nucleotides) under uncultured Oscillatoria sp. RNAcentral describes it as "bacterial SSU rRNA". It matches the Rfam family "Bacterial small subunit ribosomal RNA", at positions 385 to 768 of the family's 1533-position model. Lineage: Bacteria; Bacillati; Cyanobacteriota; Cyanophyceae; Oscillatoriales; Oscillatoriaceae. The record is from RNAcentral.
GGCCCCCGACAGACUCGUGGGGGUGGAAGACUUUGGGUUGUAACCCCUUUUGUUAGGGAGAAAAAUGACGGUACCUAACGAAUCAGCCUCGGCUAACUCCGUGCCAGCAGCCGCGGUAAUACGGAGGAGGCAAGCGUUAUCCGGAAUUAUUGGGCGUAAAGCGUCCGUAGGUGGCCCGGCAAGUCUGCUGUCAAAGACCACAGCUCAACUGUGGAAAGGCAGUGGAAACUGCAAGGCUAGAGUGCGGUAGGGGUAGAGGGAAUUCCCAGUGUAGCGGUGAAAUGCGUAGAGAUUGGGAAGAACACCGGUGGCGAAAGCGCUCUACUGGGCCGCAACUGACACUGAUGAUGAAAGAAGUGGGGG